This is a non-coding RNA of Xyrichtys novacula (pearly razorfish), 37503 nucleotides long. Lineage: Eukaryota; Metazoa; Chordata; Actinopteri; Labriformes; Labridae. The record is from the annotation of a GenBank genome assembly.
GAGCUCCAAACAGGGCUGAUGCUGUCUCAUGCGGUCAUAACUCAGAUAUUCACUUAUUCUGGUAAUCGUAGGUUCAUCCAAACCCACAUCCAAAUGUAUCUUGACACCAAAGUUAGUGUAGGUUAAUAUGUGCCGUAUAGAAAACAUCUCCGGUGGAUCUCUUUGUCAUCACAGGAAUGUUGAAGCCAUCAGGACCAUCAAGGUGACAUUUUUAUCAUCAAAGAAUCACCUUUCAACGUUUCAUAUUUAGUGCUGUCCAAACUCCAAACAGGACAUUUUAUGGCAUUGAAGGAGACAAGGCCUUUGAAAAAGUUUUUAGUUCUUAAAGCUUCUCUGGCAGAUGCCGCCUGAUGGUUAUUGGACUGUAGGGCUCAGGGCUCAGGGCUGGUGGGAUUUAUUUGCUUCUACCAUUUUAUUUUUUUGUUCCAUAACCCUCAGGAUGUUUGAAGAAGUUUAAAAUCACUGUCUUACUGCAUCUGGCCUCAGCAGCAAUGGUGCUGUGAGAGGCCUUGCUUAUGCAGUUCAACCGUCUGACCAUUCAAAGAGGGUAAAGGUGAUUCUUUGAUGAUAAAAAUGUCACCUUGAUGGUCCUGAUGGUAAUUACAGGUAGGUACAGGUAAUUGUAUUUAUUCUUUAAUGGGUGCAUCAAAGUGCAUCCACACCAUUGAAGCAUAUUUAGGAAAUUGCUGUUGUAUUCAGCUAUUGUUAUAACAUUGUAGCACAAGCUCAGCACCUCUUCUGUCAGGAAUGCUGUCUUUCAGAUAUGCAAGGUUCUGGGGCCUUAUGUAUCAAUGCUGGCGGCGCCAGAAAACCUUGCGUACGCCAAAAUCGGCGCACACGUCCAGAUUUAUCAUCGCGAAACGAGCGUCGGUUCCAGCGCUAAUCAACGCAAAGUCAGGAGGUGGUGUAGAAAUUGGCGUUGAGCCGAUACUUGCGUUGACUGUGAUUCGCACUUUGGCGACGCUGUGUGGCGGUGUUUGGUGACUCACUAUGUGACAAGCGUGCACCACAUCCCCGUGGCCGAGCAGCACGUCGCCCCACAUGACGAACCAGCAGCAGACAGAGGGAUGCGAGCUGAUCCCUGCCGGGCCGCCGUCCUCGCGCGGGAGAAUCUCUUCGCCACAGUGUGAAUGGGUAAGAAGUGAAUACACAGUUCAAUGAGCCAAAUUAAUUUAUUUUCUCCACCAGACGCUCGAGGACAUUUACAAGCCGGUCCAGCCGCUUGUUGAUCCCCGCGAUCCCCCUGAUGAUUUCUUCCUGCGAUUGCAGGACCCCCUCUACGAGGACCCUUCCACUGCGUCCGGGUGGUCCGGCGGAAGCGUCACGGCUGGUGGACGCUCCACCACUUGUCGGCGCCCUGGUGCUGAUGCUGGUGCUGGUGCUGGGGCCGGGGUGGCCCGAAUGCCGCUGGUCCUGGCCGACGACUCCGAGCCGGCGGACGGGCUGCCGCGGGCCGGGGUUCCGCAAGCCGACACACUGAUUUCUGUGACACAAUAAAAAUAUCUGUUCAUUUCAAUUCCUGCUUCUGUGUAUCUGUUGCAUUUACAUCUCUCUCCACGGUAUCAUAGGUAAUGUAAUCCAGUAUUUAGAGGUCAGUUAUGCACAUUACAGUUGUUUAUUGCAUAAAAAGUUAUCGAAAAAUGAAGUUAAGGGCGAAGUAUAAAUCACGUCUAAAAAUAGACUGAAUCCUGACGUUGAAAUGAAGUAUAAACUUAGACUAGACGUCUAAUAUACGUCUUUUGCUCAGUGGGAUGACAAAGCAUGUGGACAUUUGUGUGACACGCCACUUACCCUAUAAUAAUAAUCGCCACCACCCGCUGCUCAAACGGUGUGAGGGUCUCCUCCCCCGGACCCCCACCUGUCUGGCCAGUACUCCUCCGGAGGGCAGCUGUGCGCCGCUUGACCUCCACCUUGAGGUCCGACCACUUUUUUUUAAUCUUCGCGGGGGUUCGUGUCUCGGAACCCACCGCAUUCACCCUGUGGCAAACUUUCUCCCACUCCAAGCCUUUUCGUUUUGCACUGACGCCACUGGACAGGCUGCCAAACAAAACACGCUGUCGCUCCUCCACCUCCGCCACCAGCACCUCCACCUCGCACGCCGUAAAUUUAGUUUUUCUUGUCAUUUUGUCUGCGUGCGAGGACAGGGAGACCCUAUUUAAAUAAAUCUGCAUAUUUAUAGAAGGGCGUAACGGGGACGGGCCCAGUCACUCCGACAUCUGCGCUCAAUUCCACGCUGAUUGGGAUUUAUCAAGGAAACACACGUGGAUUUCGGCACCCGCACACAUUGAUACAUACGGAUUUUUUUCAGCGUGACGGACCUUGCAUGCGCUCGUUUCUGGUAUGAGUUCCACGCAAGUGUUGAUACAUAAGGCCCCUGGUCUUUUUGUCCUGCAAAUACCAGCACCACCUUGUUAUGUAAGUAGUGGUGCAAGUUUUUUUUUAAUAAUGGUGCUUAAACUUUCAUUCAUUGUUGAAUAAAUUUAUAAAGGUUUCAUUAACAUUUGUGUAUUUGUGGGGAUAUUAAAAUCAACAAGUGAAGACCAAGUAAUACAAUAAAUGUUCAAUUACAUUGAACUCAAAUUUAUGUUUUAAUGAACCAAUAAAUUGAUUUGAAUGUACACAAUUAAAAAAAGUUGAUAGCAGUUAAGGCAACACAAUACAUUUUAGUUCAAUGAACAUGAAUGGGUAUUUGAGUUACAACAACAAAUGUAAUGAAUUUGAAAUUACCCAAAGAUAAUGUGUACAUUUAAAUAAAAAAAAAUAAAAAAAGACCAAGAUAAAAUUAUUGUGUGAAACUGCUAAAAUGAAUAAAAUUGGGUUAAUUGAACUAAAAAAAAAUUUUUCAGUGCAGUGUGGAUCGAGGCUUCAGUCUCAUAAGGUCAGACAGAGAUGCUCAAGCUAGUGGCAAGAAGAAAGGAGGAGGUCUGGCUUUAUUUGUCAACCAGAGAUGGUGUAACCCUUCACACAUAACUGUCAAGGAGAAGUUGUGUUGUCAAGAAACUGAACUGUUGGCAGUUGCUCUUCGGCCAUGUUAUGUUCAAAGAUAGUUUAGUCAUAUCAUAUUAAUAGUUAAUUAAUUAAUCCCAUGUGAUCUUUUGCUUAAUAGUGUUGCCAGGCUACAGACUCAACACCCGGAGGCACUAAUAAUAACGAUAUUAUCAGGAGACUUCAACCAUGUUACCCUCUCCUCUCACCUGACUGGAUUUACACAGUUUGUGAACUGUUCUACCAGAGAAAACAAAACCCUGGAUCUGCUGUAUGCCAACAUCAAAGAAGCCUACAGAGCUACCGCCUUACCACUGUAGCAGAGACAACCGCUUCUCACCUUAAAGCACCACCAAAGGAAUUCAGAGUGACCUAGUUAGGUCCCAGAACAGAGCCACAGCACCAAAUCUCAAUCUGUUAUGUUAUUGUUGUGUAAUUGCAAAAUGAUAAACUUUUUUGACAAAGUGGUCCUGACUGAACUGCAUUUACAGUAUGACUUAAUCUACUACAUCUAAUUAUCAAUGGUAGUAUUGUUAUUGUUGUUUUUGUUCAUGAUCUAUAUAACAUAUUGCCUUUGCUCAGAAAUAAACUAACUGCCUGAAGGUAUACAGACCAAUGAGACAAUAUAAAAACUCCCCAUAGUGCCUUUAAAAAUACACAAGAAAAAAAAAAAAGGCUGCUGCAGAUUUUGCUGUCCAAAAGCUAGAAUGAAAAACAAAACAAAGCAAAAAUAAGUGGCUUGUUUUUGUUCUUACUUCAAUAAAACAAACACAGGUGUCAUUAUGUUCUUGCUCUGUUAUGUAAUCAAGUGAAGUAUUGCUACCAAGGCUUCCUUGGGUUUCUUCAAUCUAAACAAACGAAAAGAUCAACAGGUGAGAGUGCUUGUACACUCAUCACUUGCACCGUAUAAUUACGGCUCACCCACACAACCAGACCCUUAACUGUGUUGAUACUUGACCACGGAGGAGGCAGACUGUGUUUAGCCAGCGGAGAGGCUUCACAGACCACUCUAUAUGAUGAAAACAUGGACGCACAACAGCUCAUAGGACAGAUACCACACUGUCGGAGCAUGCAUUUCAUUCUGCUCCUGCUUUUGAUAUACCUCCUCAGCUUGCUCUCUUUCCUGGCAUGUCUCUUAUUACAAAUGCAUGCCUGCUGCACGUGCCCACCUUUGCUGCCAUCCAAAGCUGUGGGUUUUCUCCUUCUAACCACAGAGAGGAGAGCAGGGGCGAGGAGGCAGAGAGGGUUGAACGAGGUUUUAUGAUUCUCAACACCAUUUGCAUAAUAGCAUGCAUCACAUGCAGAGUGAGUACACAGUGCCAGUACGGAUGAUCAGUUUUUAUCUCUAAACUGCACCAUAAAGAUAAGAGAAAUACAUGUGGAUAUAAUGUAAUCUUACUUCCUACUGCCCAUGUCAAAUUAUUUAGGACUCCACAUCCCUGCAGCUACAUGAGCAGAUUAUUGCAUCAUGAUUUCUCAAGGCAAGGAGUCUCAUUUUAAAUGAAGUAGGGUUUAUUAUUGGUACCUGAACUGGUGCAUUUGUAUUACACAAUGUUUCUGCUUUGUAUUACUGAUUUAUUGAUUUAGGACUUUAUGGUAUUUUACAAGCUUUUACAUAAAAAACUGGUUUUGGUGCACAAUAUAUUUAACAACUGAUCAUCCAUCCCUCUGAAGCUCAAUUUUUUAUUUGUAACGUGGCAGUAUUGUUGAGCUGUUGAUUUGAGAUAAGAUUGUCUGUAUCAGAGGUGUGAGCAAAUCCCAAACAGUCCUACUAUCAUAUUUACAUGCAUUAAAAGGCUCUGAAAGCAGUAUUAAAUGCUUGAUUCUGAUUGACCAAAAACACCUGCCACGGUUAUGAUUUUCUGAGUCACAGAGUCAGCAGAAAGAGGUUACAGUCAUUAUCUGAAAAUAGCAUGGACAAAGGGCCUUCGUUUUUGUCUGAAGUGAGCUGAGAAGCAAAGAGAGUGCAUCCACAGACAUUUACAUACAUUAUGGUUACAUACAUGCAUUAAAGAAAUGCACCAAAACUGAUAGAGUAACAGGACUGCAGUUACAUCUUUUCCCUCAGUCUGAACACACCAAACCAUUAGAUAAAGCUCUGAGGAUCCCUAAGGUAUGUAUGGUCCCGAGCAGAGCAAAAUGUUGUGUUAGUUUGACUCAGACAUAUAUGGCUACGGGAAGUUCAGUGAUUGUUAUGUUAGCGUUUGUUAACUUUUCUUUUGCCAGUCUUCUACCUUGCUGAUCUGGUACAAAACGCUGCAGCAGCAGCUCAAUACAAUCAACAAAGCUAAGAUGACUAGCACAGUCAAUUUAGACACAAAGUUGAGUUAAAGAGAAAUCUACCAUAUUGAAGAAAACAAAGGAACCACUUGUGCUUUGGCAGUGUUUUUCUACAGGUGAAGAGGAAAUGCCAAUAAAAAAGUGAGGGGGAACCUGCUGUCUCUGCUGCUGUUACUUUCUGCAUCUGUUAUCUCUGCAAGAUGUUCACAGAAAAAUGCCAUUUUCGAGACCUUAACCUGAAUGAAAAUGGUGGAAAAGACAAAGUCCAGUUGAGGUCAUCGUCAUAUCUUACACUGUUGGGAUUCUGUUUUGCAUCAUCAUCAGAUAACUAUACACUGUCUCUUACAGGGUGCUUAUUGGCUCUUAAAAACAAAGACCAAACUAUAUGUUUUCUCUUACAUAUAAAUAGCCACAGAUGUCAUUCUAAAGAUGCACUGACUUAGUUUUGUAUUCACUGAAAAAACAAUGUAGCAUCUCUGUGUAUUAAACAGUUGGAAAUAUUUUACAGACUUUUCAUUGAUGCUCCAUGAUUUAUCUGAGACACAAAAGUAAUGCCCACCAGCACCUCAUCUGAUUGUCACCUGUAGUGUCCUGUCAGUCUCUGCUAACCCUCUGUCAGUGCUGUGCUUGUUUGACGCUGCCUUAUUGUCUCUCUUCUGUCCCUGUCUUAUUCAGUUGUUUCUACAGACAGAGGAGAGUUUUGAUAAGUGCUGGUCGACCAUCUAAACAUUGUGUUUGAAGAGUCGGCUCAUUGUUUGUGGAAAAGCAUUGCUCUCUUUCAGCUAUACAGACCCACAGAAUAUACACUGCAUGUACAAAAGUCAGCAACCAUUUCUCUCUACUGUGUUCAGAGUUAGAUGUAAUAGUCCCUCUUUACAUAGAAAUGAUUACUGGAGUUAAAUUUGACUUUGACUUUAUUCCACAAUAUUUAAAAAGAUUCAUAAGAAAAGACCAGAAGCACAUCAUGCUGUCAACACUUCCUCAUUGUCCUGAAUCGAUCUACUAUUUAUGUCCAAACUAAAACCACUGCAGCCCUUUGCCUGAACAAGAAUGGAAUCUGACCACCUUGCAGUGACUCUCUCUUUCAUUGUCACAUGACCAUGGUCACUUAACAGUGAUCAAAAACCCAGACCUGCCCCCAGCUGAUUUGCUAAUGAUUGCAGGACAAGCUUUGCUCCAUUUUUUCCAUUAGAGAUGGUUGGGUCCGAAAAUCAGAUGUCUUCAAUGGGAUUUUUGGUAACUAAAGCCUGUCAUAUAGACAGACAUUCGUCUCUAUAUGAUUGUUUACUAUGAUUACAAGACUACAAUACCAUUUAGCAGACGCUUUUAUCCAAAGCAACUUAGAUACGAAUCAUACACCAGUGGAGGACACAGGCUGGGAGCAUAGUAGGUUAAGUGUCUUGCCCAAGGACACAACUGUGCACUCCAGUGAUGUGAUGCAGUAAUCCAGUCCGCAUGUCCUACAGUAGAACACAACUGUAUCUUUAAUCUUUAGUCUGAUAGGUUGAAAUAGCCAAGAGUGAUGACCCAGAGCCUACAAGGUUCAUUUUUAUUUAAAAGUAAUGCAGUUCCAAUUCUUAGGUACAGUUAAAAUCAAAUACAGUAAACUCUUCAUGGGUCUCUGCCUUUAAAUUUAAUUUUACAGAAUCCAUAGAAAAACUUAAAACAAAUAUUGAGUCCUGGAGAAUAUUGCCCCUAUGAUCGGCCGGGUAAACACCAUCAAAAUGGUGAGCCUACCCAGGUUUUUAUACCUCUUCCAGAACUUGCCUAUAUUCUUAAAUACAUCGUUUUUUAAGAAGCUUGACUCUAUCGUAUUGCCCUUUGUGCGGGGUUACAAAUCAUACAGGAUAUCUAAGGCUCACCUUCAAAAACCUUCCAGGAAUGGUGGUCUGGGACUGCCUGUUUUUAAACAUAACAACUGGGCAGCCAACUCCAGGGCCCUUUCUUACUGGAAGGGUGGAAGUGUUAAACCAGAGGAGAACCCUUUGUGGUUACAGUUGGAAGCCUCCGCAGUUGACAUGUCAUCACUUCAUGCACUUUUGUUUUCUGACCCCGCCCCAGUAGUGAAACUACUUAAACAUAACUUCACCGUGAAGAAUUCUUUACGCAUUUUAAAGCAAAUAAAAGCAGCGUGCCGGGUUCCCGGUGUCUCCGUACAUGCACCCAUAUGUCAAAAUCAUUCUUUCCUGCCUGCCCGGUUGAAUGGAGUGUUUGCGGUCUGGAGGGAGAAGGGUGUUAAAACAUUUUCAGAUCUGUACAUUAACGGUCAACUGGCAUCAUUUGUUCAGCUAAGCAAAAGAUUUAAUCUUCCAAAUUCUCACUUUUUUUCGUUACCUCCAAGUCAGACACUAUGUUAAGGAGAAUUGGCCACAUCUCAAUUCCACCCCCACCACCCAUCCCAUCCUUGAGACCCUCCAGCUCCCUCCAGGCUCCAAACAGUUAAUAUCGAAAUUUGUGGGUUCAUUUACUAAGUCAGUUUCCUCUGAUUUUAUUAGGGAAGCUUGGUCCAGGGACUUGAACUCUGAAAUAUGCAUGCAAUGUCUCAAGUCCAUUGUUGUUCUAUUAACUCACGUUACAGGUUAAUUCAGUACAAGGUGUUGCACAGAUUGCACUACUCCAAAACAAAACUAAAUCGUAUUUUCCCAUCUGUGUCCCCUGUAUGUGAUAAGUGUCAUAUUGUUGAGGGCUCACUAGCGCAUCUUUUCUGGUCAUGUCCCGAGUUGCACAACUAUUGGUCAGCUAUAUUUGAACAUUUGUCCAAAGCUUACUCCAGAGCCAUUCAGCCGAACCAUGCCCUGGCCAUCCUUGGAUGCUCGACUGAGACUUCUGAUUUUCCGCAUGACACUCAAGUUGCUGUGAACCUAGGGAUGGUGGUGGCCAAGAAGAUUAUUCUCUUAACUUGGACGUCUAGCACUCCUCCCACCUUUGCUCACUGGCUCAACGAGAUGUUGUCGAUUAUUCAAAUGGAAAGACUGCGCUUGCACAAACCCAACAAUCCGAACAGAUUUGAGAGAACUUGGGGACCCUUCCUGGCUCAGUGUCAGGUGUGACACCUGACUUAAUCUUUCAUAUGAUGGUACUUGGUUCAACAAAUGCAACUGUUUCUUUUUUCUGAAAAUUAAUGUAAAACUACAAUUGUCUGGCAGCCCUUCUCUCUUUUUUUUUUCUCUCUUCUUCUCUUCCUCCUUUUGAUUGUUUCUUUACCAUUGUUUGUCCUGUACAGUUUUGUAAAGUUUAAAACUGAAAAUAAAGUAUUAAAAAAAUAAAAUAAUAAUAAUAAUUUAAAAAAAAAUUAAAAAAAGUGGGCCACUCUGAAAUUUUAAAAUGUUGACAACACGGAUGUGGGAGAACACAGCGAUAUUAUGAUAUUCCCAAAUGUCAUCAAUAACUAAUAGCUACUGACUGAUAUAAAAGCUUUUUUGUAUAUGCGCCACAAAAAAGAUGCUUCUUUAACAGAAUCCUGCCUACCCCACCUUUAAAUGUGGUCACAGUCAUCUAUUCUUUGUUCUUCAUGGUGUCCCUUAUCCAGCGAAGACCUGCCAGGUGCUUUUUAUCCUGCAGAAGUUGGUUCUGGCUGACAAGGUUCUGCGGCGAGCACCCAAGCAGAGUGCUCUGGGUGAAGCCACUUCACAAGAGGUUCUCUGCCCUUUUAUUGGGCAGGAUUUAUUAAAACAGCCAGCUUCUGACAAUUCAAUUGAAAAUCCACUGCUGGGUCUGUUUUCCUUCCAACUGCAGUGACCCUAUCAGAGCAGAUGUAGGGAGGGGGAGCGGUAAAGUGACGAAGAGGAGAAAGCAAGUUUUUAGAGAACGUGAGAUGACUGGCAGGUAGUCGACUGAUAAAAAAGGAGUCAGGUUUCAAGCUGUAAAUGCCUGUAGUUAAGAGUUACAGAGUUGGAUGUACAAUGGGGGCUGUUUCACAUGAAAACAGCAGUUUCUCAGUAUGUUUGUUUCUUUAUAAAGCUCCCUGUUACCCACUGAAAACCAGUGUGUGUCUGAUUUUGCCCUUUUACCAUAUCUCCCAUGGUAUUUGGGUCAAACGCCAGUUUUCAUUUGCCUCUGCUGCCGUGUUCACACACUUUGUGCCAAGCAUGCCAGCAUGUGACAUUCACAGCAGCUCACGUAAAGGACAGCAGCCUAUGCUUUAUGCAUGGAUUCUCCAUCCUAAAAACUUAUUUAAGCAGCUUUGGCAUAAGGCUCAUAAAGCUCCCUUGUUGUUCACAGAAUGAUUACCAAGUGAGCCUCAAGCUUCACCAAACAAUGAGCUGAACACAAGCAUGGUGGCAGAUGCCAUAUGAAACACAGGCACUGUGAGGUCAGCUGGUGCAUGGAGGAUGUUUCUCUUCAAAGACUUGUUGAGAUUAUUUUGGGAGAACAGACACUGGUUUACACUCAAUGUGGCUUUCUGGUUGCUAUUGAUCAGUGAAGCCAAACAGGAUUUGACACAAAGUGCAUAUAUUGACAGAGCAGGUUUUGUGGGGUUAGCAGAUGAUUGAUAAUAUGCAUAUUACACAUAUAUAUAUAUAUAUAUAUAUAUAUAUGACUUUUCAAAUAAGGUCUGACUUGGCUCUAAGAAAAUAUACUUUUUUUCUGUCUUGAGGGUGUUACAUUACGUACUUGGCAAGAGUAAGUGUAUUAUUCCCUUGUCAGCUUUGUUGAGAAACUAACCAGAAAACCAAACCAGAAGCUAGUAGUGGUGGGCCAUAGUGCAAGAUUUGGUAUUGAUCCGAAACCAAGUAAAUAUAGGGCCAAUAUCGAUAUUGAUACUUUUAAUAUCUAGGUUGACAUAUCAUUAAACUGUUGACCGUUGAGGUGUUUUUGUGAUUUUUAGCAUAUGGGUCAAUGACGUAUAAGGUUUUUCAUGCCAAUUUUAAAAUACCAAAAAUAAGAAUAUCUUUUGCAACAGUUCAAACACUAAGGAUGUUGUGUAUACAAAAAUUAACGUUAAAUUUUUAAGUUAGGCAAUUUUAGUGUUUUUUUUUUUUAUGUAGAUGAAUUGCCCGUGGCCUUAAAAAAUGUCAUGUGGUGCGACCAUCAUUUAUCUCAAAAUUAUUACAUUUUUCAAAAGUUUACUGUUUUCAGUGCCAUGCUUUAAUGCAUCUGCUCAUAAGAAACAAUGAAGUGAAAUGUGAUCGUAUGUGAUGUUACAAACAGUUUAAUCAUAGUGAGUGAGUAAAUUAGAUCUAGCUCGCUUUUAAUAUCAAGUUGAGUUAAUUCGCUGCCAGUCGAUGGGCUGCACUGGGUAACAACGAUUGGAUGUGCCCCCUCCCUCUUAGUUCACGCCCACGUGAACUGCUUAAAAAGAGUUGAGCUUUGGCCGCCCUUGGUCUUUUGUCUUAGUCUUCGUUCCAGUCUUGCUUUUUGUCUUAGUCUUGUUUUGUCUUCGUUUUAGUUCCUUUGUCUUGUUCUUAGCUUUUCUUUUGUCUUCGUCCAUCGUUUGCAAUUUUCUCAUUUUUACUAAUUGCCUUAAGCUCAGACUUUUCCAGAAACUUGGAUGAAACCAUACCCAAGUUCCUUUAAAGCAUCAGUAACAAGCUGCGCACAUAGAGAACCUCAGUCUAAGUCUUUUAUUUUAUUUUUGUUCGCUAAAGUGACUCCUGAAGAUAAUAUCGGCUGGCCAGCAAAAUUAUUUUCUUAAGUUAUUGGCGCGAGUUAAUCUGCAACCAAGCUAGUCCUGAACGCCGACCAGCAUCAUCUGCCGAGCUGCUUUGCCACCUGGUUCCGAGAGGCCCAGAGAUCUGAAGUAUCUAACGACCCUGAUACGGUCCUGAAGCUGAGAUCCAGACACGGCGGAAGAACUCCCCGCCGAAUCUUCAGUUCCGGUCCGGUAGCCACAGAACUUCAGCUGAUCCAUUCCAAGAGUGCCGCUGAGAACCGACAUCCAAAGUAGGCAAACUCCUCGAAACUGCUGUGAUGAGAACUGGGUGAUGCCGUCAGCCAUUCAGUAGCUUACUCUCAUAGUUAUAGUUUAGUUCUCUAAAUUCCUUUUAAAUUUACCCUCGUAACUCCGUUAACGUAGGUUAAGUUUUCCCUUAUUCACUCACUAUCAUUAACCUCCAGUCUUAGGUUUAAUUUAAACCAUUCCUUCGUUUAUUCAUUAGAUGUGCUUUGAUUUUCUCAUUAUUUGAUCAUCAUUUAUUGACGUUUUGUUAUCAUAUAGCUUGUUAAUAAAUUGUCCAUUUAAUUUUAAAUUGUCGUCUCUUAGUGGUCUUUCCAGAAAGUAGUCCCUGAAUGAAGAAUUCCGGCCUCAGACGAGAGACUGAUUUAAAUCUGUUUAAGACUGAUUCAACGUUUAAUUACUCAAUUGAACUUUGUUUCGUCCUUUUCCCACCAGAAAGGUGGGUGGUGCCCCUUCAACGAGUGCAUAAAUGUCAUAACUUAAUUUGAUUAAUUUUCGACAUAUAUUUUGAAUUCAAAUCGCUACAUAUUAUUCGGUGCGGCCGUGCGAGGCUCAUUUCAAACGACUUCUGGAAACACUAACAGACAACUUUAAGAUUAUCUUCCCAAACUAGUGAGAAACCCAACUUUCCCAACUUAGACUUCUUAAGAUCUAUGCUAUGCUUGCUGAAAUUACUGGAUUGAUUGCUUAAUGUAUGUCUGAUGCAUUUUUGAAAUUGCUGAACUGGGCGUUUGAUGUAUUUCUGUUUCAUGUUCUGAUGAUAUGAGCUCUUGUUAAAGCGCUGAUUUUGCUGCUGCAUACGUAUGUGUGUGAGCCUAGACCACGUGGAUCAUUGUUUUGGAUUGCAGCGAGGCUGCGUUUUUCUGCUCUGCGCGCCGCCGAUGCGCGUACCCAGAUUGUUAACUUUUGAGUGCACGAUUUCAGCGUCGCCGUACGCCAAAUGAAAAGUGGAAAAUAAAAAAGUUGAUUGAGUUGGAAAUCGAGUUGUCCUGGAUCAUUUGGAACUGAAAACUGUGGGGACUUGACACACAUAAAGUUGCAUAUAUUAAAACCUCACAUAAAAAAGGUGGGUUGUGUGCACAGAUCACAACAUAAAUUCCAAAAAUGGCAUUAAAAUCGGAACCAUCUGUGCGUAAAUGACACAUCGUGCUCCGUGGCCUGGCUUUUUCUUUCAUAGAUGUUGGCAUAUAAAAUAUAUUUGGCUAAAAAAACUGAAUAUUGUAAUAUUCGCAUGUAGGCUUAAAGUAAAUAACUCAUCUGAACACUGAAACAAAUCAUCUGUUCAGCCGCAGCAGGAGGGGGAGAGGACAUGGAGACAUGUCCAGGUCGAGCUGCAUGAGAAGUAAGAGGACGAGGAAGAAAGAAAAGGAGAAAGACAAAAUUACAUAUCUUGUUAACUUCAUGUGUGUUUAUUUACUAGAUAUAUAAUUUAAUUUAAUGCGGUUUCAGGUAUGUUAAUUCGGUCAGGUUGAGAGUCCAAACGCAUGCCAAACACGCUCAUCAAAUAAGAUAUAGUUUAGAAUAUAUCUAUAUAGAUCUAAAUGUAUGUGCUGACUCAGAUUAUUUGUUGUUAAUUAUUUAUUGCACUGAAAUGUGCCUGACACUGUGGAAACCUGCCGGUGAGGCAUCAGUGAUGUAUGCCGAUACGCAGCUGGUCUGCCAAAAUACCACUAGACCAGCUGCGCUCCGCCUGUGCUGAAAGCUGACCAGUGCUGCGUCCGAAUUGCCCGCUCGGAUACUACAUGCUACUGCUACAUACUACUGCUAGAUCCUACUCCUACAUACUAAACACGUUGGCCCAAUUCGGACACACUAGAUGAGCGGUGGGGAAAGACGACCCCCGCAGGCAGAGAGUAGGUACUGCGCCCGUGCAGACAGUGGUAACUGAAGCCCCUCAUCUGCGGGCCUGGCUGUAGUACUGCAGCUGUGCAGUUCAAUGAUGGAAUAAGUGAGCUUUACUUCCAUGAUGUCGCCACAUAUUUGCUCAUAAAAUGAUUACUUGGGCAAAUAUGACACCAUGACAUGACAAAGAGAUACAACCGCACAUUUUUUAGGACAGUGUGUGAAGUUACAUGAAACUUACAUCUGUACUGCUGCGGUCCCGCCUGCUGCUGCUCCGACAUGGUGCGCGCUGCUGUGGCCAGCCGGCGUUCGCGACACAUUUAAAUAGGCAGAGCAGCUGGUGGCGCUAGCAUCACAUGCGCUUCUACAACUUUUGAGAGGACGAAGAAGAAGCCCGCGGUGCAUUUUGGGUCAGUAGCAUGCCCGUAGGAUGCACCGAGACCAACCUACAAUGUGGGCGUGUCUAGUAUCUGAAGUAGUAUCUGAAGUAGCAUGCUACUCGCUCCGGUGGCCAAUUCGGACAUGCUAGAUACUACUUCGACUACUACUUCGACUACUACUUGGCAAUUCGGACGCAGCUCAGGUUUGAAUCGGCGAGCUUUCAGCGCACUUUACGCGGCGGCAGCAGGCACAAAAAUGUUACUGCGCUGAUUGUGUCGACACCUCCCCCUGCUACGCCACCAUGCCCAGCUUGGCGGAACUAUGUCCUAAAACGAAUCAGGACACAUAAAUAAAGUAAGGGGAAGGAAGGGAUUAAAGGUCUACAUUUCCUGUCAGUUUGUUUCAUUUCAUGUAACAUUAAGUUAUUGUUAGAAAAAAAAAGCAAGCAAUUGAGACAUUAAAAGACACACAGCCACCGAAACCCAUAUCAUUUCCCCGCAGACUGAGCAUAAUGUUGUUGACAAUUUCACGUUGUGAUGAUGUGGAUCUAUAUUUCAAUUCACAGCUCAUAAUUGCUCUGCCGCUAUGCUGCCUUUGUACUGCUGUUCGUAAUAAAUGCAGAGCUGAGAUAAUCUGUUUUACUGUGAUAGAAAGAUUCAUUAAUAUGGAGAAUAUACAGCAUAGCUGUAUCAGUGCUAGCAAGUAAAAGCAUAAAUAUGAUGGUCCCCCCCCCCAACACCCUGUUGCAGAAACUGUCUGGAUGGUAUUUGUUUAAUUUUGGGAAAGACUAAUGAUGUUUCUCCAUCAGGUUUGAGGGUUAUGCUCUGAUCAAGGUUACCACCCUCUGUUUAAUAAUUAUAAGCUCACGCAUGAUCAAAGGAGGUUAAUCCUGUGUUUUAUUGGAAAUGAACCCACCAAAUAAUAAAAAGUGGCUCAUGCAUCAAAAAAGCCGUCAAGGUAACUUUCUGGUUUAUCUUACCACAAGCCUCAAACCCUUUUAAAUCAGGCAUAUGUUCUUCCAAAUAUGCGUAUCUUUCCCACCAUUGAGCAUGAAUCAGAGGCAGAAAAACAGGUGCCGUGCAGUAAAAGAGACUAAUGAUCAAUCAGCAGACCACUCUCAGCCAUGCACUGUUUUGUAGCUUUAACCAAAGCCAGCAACGGUGCAAAAGAGCUGAUGUUAAUGCUUUGGGAAUGCGCACAGGGAAAAACAGCAGUCAGAUGAAUAUGCCUUCUUCUAUUGUUGCAAUGUUAUGACCGGUCUAAUGAGAUCUAUGGAGAGUUGAGCCUCUCAUUUUGUUGUAUCACCCAUACACUCUCCUGCACAGUAAAUCCACUGUGGGAUUGUCUUCAGACACAUCCACUCAGAUGGAUGGAUGCUUUUGCUGAUGUUCCAGACUAAAGAGCAUCAUUCAGUGCCUUUUUUAUAUUUUAUGUACAAAAACAUCUGAGUUCUGUGAUGACACAUUUCUUAUUCCCAUAUGCUGUGUUGAAAGAGAGAAGCAUGCUUUCAAAGGUGUCUUUGCUGCCAACAAGGAAUUGGAGUUGUUUUUCUUCCCUAUUUGAGCACAGUAAUAAAUCACUUCGACAAACACUUUUGUUUUUUUCAGAUCUCAUCAAAGCAGUAUGAAAUAAUCCUGAUCUCUCACCUCAGGAAAGUCACAGUCUGCUCCCUCUGUGUCGCCUGCAUAUAUGCAGGUGCACACUUGUCACACAAUGCGCCUGCACUUCAGCACAAUGCAGCAGCCACCUCUGCUAACUCAGAGGUAGAAGAACAAUAGAGGAGCUCGACAACAGCACAGUGGCUGCCACUAAGGUCACACCCACAACACAACCUGCGUAUUUGUUAGCAGUUUAAUUUUAGUGCUGCCAAACCAUCUGCUCAGCAUUUGUAGAUGGCAGAGCAAGCAGUGAUUAAUCAGUCAAACUAUUGCUUCCAAUACUUCGACUCUUCAUUUCCACUUUUAAAGCAGGCGAGUGGAAUUGCUGCUCUUUCAUCAGUCAGAGGUAAAUGAUUCAUUCUCAGGCCGAGUAUGCAAAAUAAAAUUACAGUCAGAUGACUCUGUAGCUGCGUUUCCAUUACAUUUUUUCGCAAAAUAAAAGCGAUGUUUAUCAAAUUUCGACAAAGUACAAUUGCGAUUUGCGGGUGUUUCCAUUGAAUGGUGUUCAGUGCAUAAGCGAGCCGUCUGCCUCUCGCGAGCCGUGUUUAAAUGGCCGUUGCCUAGCAACGAGGUAAACUUCCUGCCCGUGCGACCUCGUAUUCCUUAAGCCUUUUUGCACACCAACAUGGACGAGACACAAAACAUUUUGUGUUUUGGAGCAGCUAUUUCUGUGACCAUUACUGCUGUUGCCGCUGCUGUCAUCAGAAGACGAAGGCAGCGGGUGAUAAUUCAAAGGCAAAGCUUGUAUGUAUGGGAGCGAACACGGAUGAGGGAUUUCUGGGAGAGGAUCGUUAAUGAGGAAUUCACAGACUAAUUGUGGAUUCAAAACUUCAGAAAAAUACAAAUACAAUUCAAAACUUCAGAAAUAAGUCCGUCUCCUCCCCCGUCCACAUAUACCGUGCCAUCUACGCUUGAAAUGAACUGGUCACUUGACCCGCUACGUCACGUCCGGUGACAGAGAAUUGCGAGAAAAGUGUUUCCAUUACACUUUUGCGAUAUACUUCUAUAUCGACACGUCUGAAAAACCACCUCAUGAGAGCGUAAAAACUUUUUAGCGAUAUUUGGGAGGUUUUUCGAAAUGUAGGUGUUUCCAUUACCAGUUUUCUAUUGCGAUAUUUACGUUUUGCGCAAAUCUAUGGGUAAUGGAAACGCAGCUUGUGAUAGAUUGGAAGAAAGAUGUGGUGUAAAUUCAUAAGAAUGAAGGAGCGGCUCACAAACUUCCAAAUCUCUGAUCAGACAUUAGACUGUGUGCAAUUGCAGUAAACAAAUAAACCUCUUCAUAAUUUACAUGAAGUAGUGCUCUUCAUUAUUGUUUGCGCUUUUUUUCACUUCUUGCCUGGAUGUCAAUACACUGUCUAACCAAACAUUACACUCUUAAAGGCACAAUGAAGAGGUUUAGUGUUAAUUUGGGGGUCCCUUUUGGACAAACCUGGACGUGCCUUUGCAGAAAACUGCAUUUCCCAUGAGCACCAUUACCCACUCUCAUAAAGAUGAGACUCUUACCAAAAUGUGCAGAUGGAUUUAAAGGGGAAUUUCUGCGUACAUUUAAGUUAUGGUCAAACACACCUUAACACCGAGUUACACUCGAGGGAUGAAUGUUGUUGACUGCUUGCUUCUCUAGUUAUACCAACUUUAGUAACGACCACAUGAUAGCAAUACACAGCGGUCUAUGGAUCCACGCACACACCUCAACCAAAAUGCCGCUCUAUAGCCACAAAUAAUGCACAGAACAGCACCUAACUUGGUGUUUGUGGGGGAGCUUUGACGAGUCAAUCACCAAGUGCAGCGGAUCAUUUCCUUGAAGUCAUAAUCAUCAUAAUCAUGAUUUUGCACUGCAGACACGGUAGUUAUUCUGCCUCGGUCUGAUUGCAUUUCCAUGAAGAAGUGAUCAUAAAUGUUCUUCCUGGAGCUGCGUCACCCCGAGCUUUCCCUACAAACAAGCAGCUGCUGCAAGAGAGUGGGUGAGUUGUGUAGCAAAGCAAUAUAUGCUUUGCCUGGUUUCUUGUGCUGUUAAUAUGUACUGUGGCGAUAGAGUGGCUUUUUGGUUGAGGUGUGCACAUGGAUCCAUAGACCGCUGUGUAUUGCUAUUGUGCGGUUGUUAUGAAAGUUGGUAGAACUAGAGAAGCAAGCGGUCGGGAACAUUCAUCUCUCGACGGGGUGUCUAACUCAGUGUUAUUGUGUGUUUGACCCUAACUUAAUUUUACAACAGAAUAUCCUUUUAAGGUAAACAAAAUUUAUGUAAAGGUUCCCAAUCUGUAUAAAAAAAAAGUAUAUAUUUAGUAGUUGCAAGCUGUGUUUUUUGCACACUAGAAAUUACUCCUCUUUUUAAAUCUCUCUCUCUAUAUAUAUAAAUAUACAUAUAUAUGUAUAUAUAUGUGUGUGUGUGUGUGUGUGUAUGUAUAUCUAUCUAUCUAUCUAUCUAUCUAUAUAUAUAUAUAUAUAUAUAUAUAUAUAUAUAUAUAUAUAUAUAUAAAUAGAUAGAUACUCUUGAGGGCAUUGGUGAGAUGUUUCAGUUGCAGGAGAAUAAGCUGUGUCCAUAUGUUUAUUUAAUCCACAGCAGUCAAAUCUAAAGGUAUUGGGCUCUAUUUUCGUGUUCGCCGGUGAGGCGGCAGAGGGUGGCGGACCCCGCGCAGUGGUAUUUUUGUCUUGCGGAGCCUGACGUACAGCCAGUUUGGUAUUUUCGUAGACUGAGGCGCACCGAGGUCCACCAAACUGGCCGUGGUGGCGUGGCAGGGGGAGGUGUCGAUAGAAUCAGCCGCCGGCGUGUAAAGUGCGCUGAAAGCUCACCGAUUCAAACCUGGUCAGCUUUCAGCGCAGGUGGAACACAGCUGGUCUACCGGUAUUUUGGUAGACCUGCGGUGUAUUGGCAUACGUCACCAAUGCCUCACCGGCAGGUUUCCACAGUGUCAGGUACAUUUCAGUGCAAUAAAUAAUCAUCAACAACAAAAAAUCUGAGUCAGCACAUACAUUUAGAUCUAUAUAGAUAUAUUCUGAUCUAUAUCUGAUCUGAUGAGUGCGUUUGGCACGUGUUUGGACACACAACCUGACCGAAUCAACACAGCUUAAACCGCAUUAAAUUAAACUAAAUAUCUAAUAAAUAGACACACAUGAUGGAGUUAACAAGGUAUGUAAUUCGUCUCCCUCAUUUUCUUUCUUCCUCUUAUUUCUCACGCAGCCGGACCUGGACAUGUCUCUGUGUCCUCUCCCCGUCCUGCUGCAGCGGCUGAACAGAUGAUUUGUUUCGGUGAUCCGAUGAGUUAUUUACUUUAAGCCUACAUACGAAUAUUAUAAUAUUCAGUUUUGUGAGCCAAAUUUAUUUUAUAUUCCAACAUCUAUGAAAGAAAGAGCCAAGCCAUGGAGCGCGAUGUGUCAUUUACACACAGGUGGUUUUUAAUGCCAUUAUUGGAAUUUAUGAUGUGAUUUAUGCGCACAACCCACCUUUGUCACGUGAGGUUUGAAUAUGUGCAACUUUAUGUGAGUGUCUUUAUUUGUGGAAAGGGUGUUUGUCGUACUAGUGGGUCCAACAUUACACACACCAAAUCCAUCUGAGCUUAUAUGAGACAGUGUGCAGGACGCCCUCUGCAGCGCUUACAGCAACACUUGUUGAGGGGCUGCCUUCUGUCGCCAUCGUGUGGCAUUACUGUCUUCAGACAUCUCUUGAUCUCUUUGACUACUUCACGAAAAUAGUAAUACGCCUCGCCAGUGGCGGAUUUAAAGGCGAGGAGAGGAGCUGAUGUUAUUGGUCAAUACAGGUCUUGGCUGUGUUAAACCCACUCCACACCCUCUCUCCUCCUUCGCUACGAUUUACGCCACUGGGAGGAGCUGAGUUAGGGAGGGCAGAUACUUACGCCGGGCUGCGCCACUCACCAAAAUACCAAAUUGUGCUUGGGAACGCCUUGUUGGUGUGGCGGACCUGACUUACGCCGUGCCUGCGCCACAUCUCUGGGGAAGCACAAAAAUAGAGCCCAUUGACUUUAAGUGUAAGUUUUGAGGUAAUUUACGUUGACAUUUUUAUUGAAGAAUUUGAACUCUUCUGAGGUUGCUAAAGCUUCAAAUUCUCUGAAACAAUCCAUGACCUCAAUAUGUGAAACACUAGCUGGCUGCAGAUUCAGAGAUACGUAUUAUGCUGCAUUUGUCAGAGGGUCCAGGCUCAAUAACUGUGUCGACUUAAUGUCUUACAGAAGACUGAGUCAAUCACUCAAGUUGCACCCCUGAUUGCAAUGAACUUUCCCACUAGAACUUCCAUUCUUCGUGUUUUAAUCAGCCCAUUCCUCAGAUAAAAAGGGGUGGGGGAGAAUAAAAAGAAGUCUUUCAUAUUCUGUUUCGAAAAGGAACUCAAUUAAGAGGUCCCAAAAGGGCCCUUUAAUGGUUUAUGAGGAAAGCAGUGAUGAAAGAGAGAGAGGUUAUAAAUAUUUCAGGUAAUUUUGUUAUCUAUUCAUCUCUUCUUCCACAUCUACUCUGUGUGCGUCUCAUUAUCUCACAGCCAGAUUGUUUUACCCACCAGCUCAUGUUUCCGCUGCCGCAGACAAUACAUUUAGUGCGCCUUUUUUAUUUAAUUAAUUUCAUGUUUAACGCUGUUAUUCUGAUAACUUACAAUAUUAUCCUUUACAUAAAAAUGCUCCCGUCUGUUACAGAUUGAUAUUUAUGUAAUUUACAGUAUAUUCCUUUUUUUUUCCUGGGAGCUUUUACAUCACUGAACAGUGGGGGUCAAACACAUCUAGCUUAAUUUAUAACUCUAUGCUCAGCCAUGGUGCUGCUGGUGGACAGAUGUAUGCACAGGCACAAGAUUGAUCCAACCAAAUCCAAUAAUUUCUACAGUCAGUUUGAUCUCUUAUCACUCUUCUGUCUGCUCCAUUAAUCUUUGCACAUCAAAAAAAAAAAACGUGUCAUAGAAGAAAGUCAGAUUUUGCCAAAUUUCUCUCAGUUCUUUUCUUUUGGCGUGUUCAAAAAGUUAGGCAAGUGAUCCUCAGAGCAGCAAGGCUCAUUUAGAGUACACACUCUGGCUUCAAUUCAUCACACAUGUACCCGCAAACCAUCAUCAUGGUGAUAUCUCAGUCAUCAUCAUCAAAGGUCAAAAAAAGUAAUAAGCUGUAUUUAGGUAAUGGGAUUAUUAUUAAAAUAUUUUAAUGUGCUUCAUUAACGACAGAAUGCAAAUCAGGGACAUGAACAUGAAAAAAAAAGUGGGAACAAAGUACAGAAAAGUAAGUCUUUUCUAGCAAUAUCCUGUGGUGCAAAACACAUGAUCUGCUUUAAAUUCAACAAACUUUGAGAGAUCAGUGAAAAAGAUCAUUAAUAUAUGAGAGAUUUAUUCACCAUGAAAAUGAAGAUUUGCAGCUGUAUGUUUUACACAGUGAUAAGUUAUGGAAAAAUCUGUUUGUUCUAAAACUUUUAGAUGUCUUUUUCCCUUAUCAUCAUAUAACCAUCAGGAGACAACAUGGUAGGAAAUCUAGGCACCAUGAUUUUACAAUUUAUUUGUGAAACCAUCUUUAAAGGCUCAUGUUCUGCAUUAUGGACAAAGUUAUCUUCCAUUUGGAACCAGAAGUUAUAAUCAGGGAUGAGGUUGGAUACAUAUUUAGAAGUUUUACACUGUUUGGCCACUCAGCAUGAGGCAACUAAUCAAUUACAGGUAUGCUUUCAAGUUUACCUAACUUUCUAAUGUGCAGGUGUAAUUUAAAUGCCACCACAAGACUUUAUGCUACUCUGUAUACUCACUACAAAGAUGAUUACUGAUUCAAAUUAAAUUACAGUGGACUCCUUUUUCCAUCUGGGUUCUUAACGCAGAUACUCUUUUAUGGGGCUGUUUUGCUGCAGCGCGAACUGGAGCUGUUCAUUAAAAGAGACGACAUCAUGAAGAAAGAACAUGACGUGAAAAUAUGAAAGCAACAUCUUAAGACAUCAGCCAGGAGGCUAAAACUUGGGUGCAAAUGUGUCUUCCAAAUGGACAAUGACCCUAAAUAUACUGCCAAAACAGUUGAAAAGUGGCUUGAGAACAAAUUCAAUGUCUUGGAGUGACCAUCACAAAGCCCUGAUCUGAAUCCCAUAGAAAAUUUGUGGGCAGAUCUGAAAAGGCAUGUACGAGUGAGGCGGCUAACAAACCUGACUCAGGCUGUGUCUCAUUUCAGAGACCGCAUCGUGAUAAGCGCGCUUAACGGCGCUUAGCUGAGUGCACUGCCGUUUUGAGCCGUUUUACGCCGUUUUGCGCCGUUCUGUGCCCUUCCUGUGUCCCAUUUCAGAUACAGCAGCCAUCGAACGGCGCAUCUGACACGUACGUGAGGUCACCACGCGGCGCGAACGGUGUCCCGUUUGGCACAAAAUACUAAGCGCGCUUCAAAUUCGGUCUCAAAACCACACUACCCCCGCCUCAUUUUCAAGCGUGCAUGUAUGCACGCUUUCGUGCCGUCGGUAUCCCAGAAUUCUUUGCGUGCCGCUGCACAGCUGUGCAUUUCAGGUGAGAGGCUGGACUCGCUUGGAGACACAGCGCGUCUUCGAAGAAAAUACAAGCAAUCCAAAACCAUCAGACAGUCAGCUCAGGCUGUAUGAGAGCAUGAUCUCUGAACUCACUAAAAUCUGUAAACCAAACAUUAUAGAUUUAGAGACGAACUGAUCCGCUGUGUUACAACUAUCAAAAACAUUAGAAGUGAGAAAGCUGACAAAACUACAGCAGAGUAUCAGGACAACAUUGAGGUUUUUUUUUCUUUUAAGAUUUAGAGAUUAAAGUGGUAAAUUUAGGAGAAUAAAGUCAUAAAGUAAAUAAAGUCAUAAAGCUGCUUUUGCGGAGGGGGAAAUGACUGAAGCUGGUCAUCUGCAGGGUUAUCUGUGGAUGUAUCAGCGGGUCAUUAAGAGAGAUUUUGUGGUUUCUGAAGAAACAAUCAAACUGAUGAUAAUCAACAUUUGUGAUCCAGAGGGAGUCGAGCUCCGACGAGCACCACGUCUCUGACACCGGCCGUAGCCUACACCUGCACCAACACCUUAUUAUGGCAUAUGGAUUCAUAUCAUAAAUUAAAGCUCAAUGUCAUUCACGGAUAUUAACGGCUGCAUUGACAGAUAUAUCCUCAGCAUAUUCAUUUCUGCCUCCACAAAAGCAGCGAUUUCCUUCAAGUACACCAAUAUUUUUCCCCCGUGGAAAAGACGUAUUUCUCAUAUAUUCUUUUUAAAGUCUUUAUACUUAUGACAAUGUUAUGCUGAUGUGCCAGAGGAUGAAGAAUCUCCUUGUUUGUGAAACCUAUACUGAAGCACAGUUCCUUCAAAUGCUUCAUGGCCCUAAUUUUAACAAGUCUCUCUGAAAUAACAGGUUAUGACUUCAUUCUCAUAAAUUAAUGACUUUAUUCUCGUAAAUUCACGACUUAAAUCUCGAAGUCCUUAAAGUCUUAAAUCUCAAUAUGGCCCUCAUACUCCUUCUUACAAAACAAUCAUUGGAUGAAUUGUGCUUGUAUGUAUCUACUAUUUUGUGUCUGUGCAAGGUCGCACAAUUAAAGCAAUAAAUGCUGCGCUCCGCGGGUUUCCUUUAAGUCAGUCGUGACGCGAGCCUGAGGGCGGGGACAUUUGGCAACUCCACCAGGAAGUCCUCCGAAGGUCUCCAAAUGUCCCCGCCCUCAGGCUUACGUCACGACUGAUUAGAAAAAAAGCUGCGGAGCGCAGCAUGUAUUGUUUUAAUUGUGCGACCUUGCACAUACACAAAAUAGUAGAUACAUACAAGCCCAGAUCAUUCCCACAAAAUUAAUCCAAUGAUUGUUUUGUAUGAAGGAGUAUGAGGGCCCUAUUGAGAAGGAGGAUAGGAGAUACUUCAUCCUCUGGCACAUCAGCAUCACAUUGUCAUAAGUAUAAAGACUUUAAAAAAAGAAUAUAUGAGAAAUACGUCUUUUCCACGGGGAAAAAAACUGGUGUACUUGAAGGAAAUCGCUGCUUUUGUGGAGGCAGAAAUGAAUAUGCUGAGGAUAUAUCUGUCAAUGCAGCCGUAAAUAUCCGUGAAUGACAUUGAGCUUUAAUUUAUGAUAUGAAUCCAUAUGCCAUAAUAAGGUGUUGGUGUCUCUGCAGGUGUAGGCUACGGCCGGUGUCAGAGACGUGGUGCUCGUCGGAGCUCGACUCCCUCUGGAUCACAAAUGUUGAUCAUCAUCAGUUUGAUUGUUUCUUCAGAAACCACAAAAUCUCUCUGAAUGACCCGCUGAUACAUCCACAGAUAACCCUGCAGAUGACCAGCUUCAGUCAUUUCCCCCUCCACAAAAGCAGAUUUAUGACUUUUUUUACUUUAUGACUUUAUUCUCCUAAAUUUACAACUUUAAUCUCUAAAUCUUAAAAGAAAAAAACCUCAAUGUUGUCCUGAUACUCUGCUGUAGUUUUGUCAGCUUUCUUAUUUCGAAUGUUUUUGAUUGUUGUAGCAGAGCGGAUCAGUUCGUCUCUAAAUCUAUAAUGUUUGGUUUACAGAUUUUAGUGAGUUCAGAGAUCAUGCUCUCAUACAGCCUGAGCUGACUGUCUGCUGUUUUCGGAUUGCUUGUAAUUUCUUUGAGGACACGCUGCGUCUCCAAGCGAGUCCAGCCUCUCACCUGAAAUGCGCAGCUGUGCAGCGGCACGCAAAGGAUUCUGGGAUACCGACGGCACGAAAGCGUGGAUAAAUGCACGCUUGAAAACAUGCUAAGCGCGCUUAGCAUUUUUUAGCAUCUCGUGCCAAACGGGACACCGUUCGCACCGUCGUGACGUCAUGCACACUUCAAAUGCACCGUUCGACGGUGCAGAAGGGCACUUAGGUCGAUGCGGUCUCUGAAAUGAGACACAGCCUCAGUUUCACCAGUUCUGUCAGGAGGAAUGGGCCAGAAUACCAGUAGAGUACUAAGUACUAUGUUAACUUAUAACUUCUGGUUUCAACUGUAUAUAUAUAUAUAUAUAUAUAUACACAUGUCUGUUUGUGUGUGUGUGUGUGUGUGUGUGUGUGUGUGUGUGUGUGCACUCUCAAAAUGAAUGUGUCAAAAGUAACUCAUCAUGUGUUAUUUCAAUUUACACAUAGCUGCGUUAUGUAUUCUUCACACAAAAGUGUUUUAUUUUCAUACAAUUUACAAAUGCAUUGCGCUUUACAAAGCGCUUUACAUUGGAUAUAUCAUUCAUUCGCUCAUCCAGUCACACUUUAGUGGUGGUUAACUACCUUAUAGUCACAGCUGCCCUGAGGCAGACAGAAACGUGGCUGCCAUUUUGCGCCUACGGCCCCUCCGACCACCACCACACAACACUCACAAUCAUACACCAGUGGAGGACACACACCGGGAGCAAGGUGAGUUAAGUGUCUUGCCCAAGGACACAACGGACAGACUUGGGAUAGGGGGGGAAUCGAACCGCCAACCUUCCAGUUAUUGGACGACCGCUCUUACCUCCUGAGCUACUGCGAUUAUCUGCUAAACUACCAAACCUGGUCACUAAAAAGAAUCAACAAUUGCUUGAAUCUCAAGUCACUUUUAAAAAAUUUAUUUGGUUCAGGCAGCAGUGCAAAAUCUUGGACUUUGUAAGACUUUAGUGCAAACUUGAGAGCAAAACAUAGUGCAAUCACAGAGUAUAAGCAUUAAACAUUUUGUAAACAUUUCAUUCUUAAACCAUCAGUGCAACAAUGGAAGACCUAAAAUACAGACAUGGCAUGUCAAACAACCGUCCCCUGCGGCUCGAGGCUGUGCGCUGGGCCGGGUUACAACGGCGUUACUCCCGUGGCGUGUAGUUUGAGUUGCAAAUGUAAAUGUGCCUCUCACACAUUUGUGAGUGCAGACCAACUCCUCAGCAAGCUUGAUUAUUAGCCUUUAGCUGUUAGCACAGCUGCCAUUGUUGCAUUUCAAAGCCAUCAAAGGCAGUGGCGAGUGCUGCCCCCAGGAGGAUCAAAGAAGGGAUUACACAACAUGAUUUUUUUCCAGAGCUGGUUCAUGUGGCAACUUUCUCAGUGCAUUGCUCCAAUCCACACCCCUAAAUUGGAGCUACAAGCUUCCAUGACCCAGGGUCACCCAGCCAGGGACCAUCCAGGUGUCUGAGUAAAGUGGACAGAUCAGCUGGGGGUCCUACAGAAAUAAGACUUAUAUAUUUGGAUUUAUUUCCCCCAAAAUGGAACUUAAUAUUUUAUUUUUAUUGAGUUAAAAUAGUACAACCCAAACCAUAGUCAAUUAAGAGAACCAUACGUCUGUGUGUGAGGAAAGGUAUACUCCUGUCUUCAGGGCACCGUGCUACUCAAGAAUCUGGUCUCAGAUACCAGUUCAGUGGCCUUGUGGUCCACCCUGAGACUGGGUGUUAGGAGGUUUGAUUCCCCUGCUGAGGGGCUUCCUCCCUCUCAAAAAUUAACUUACAGAAUUUAUAAGAAUAGAUUAUUCCAGAAUUAUUCAAAAGUAGGACAAUUAAUAAAGCCACUGCUUGGUUAAAAAUUACCCUGGCAGGUGUUUUCAUUAAUAACCUCUUUGACCUAGCAGUGGCUAACACAUGUUGUGUUUAAUUCACAUGAUAACUAUUUUAUGUGUUAAAAUAGCAUUAACUCAAAAGUGUGUCUAGGAUAAUAACACAGGAUGUGUAAAUAUAACAUAACAAAUGUUAAAAUAUAAUAACACAAAAAAUGUGUAUGAUUUUAACACAUUCAUUUUGAGAGUGUGUGUGUGUGUGUGUGUGUGUGUGUGUGUGUGUGUGUGUGUGUGUGUGUGUGUGUGUGUGUGUGUGUUUAGUUAGUUAGUUAGUUAGUUAGUUAUGGAAUAGACUUCAAUUUGUAUCAAGGCCUUUUUCAUAACACCCCCCCAAAAAAAGAAGCCCACCAUGGACACGGACCACCAUUACUAGAUAAUGCCAAUGUAAAUGCCGACUUUUAUUUCUCCCCUUCACUUUGUUCUAAGAACAUUUACACAUUUAUUCUCAACAUCCUAUUUUCACUUGUCUUGUGGUGUCCCUAAUACAUAAUUGCGAUAUCACAAUAAUGUUGUUUAGGCUAAUGUUGCUGUGGUGUGUUUGAGGCCUGUUGUUAAAUCUAGUUACUUCCAUAGCCUGCUCAAACUCCUCAGAGGUGUCUUUUACCCAAGAUUGUUUCAUAAUACAAACCACAAUUUUUACCCCCUGCUGUUUUCAAAAGCUUGUAUUUCUGUUAAAAUAAAACCCCUACAUCUUAAAGUCCAUGACUUUUCCUAAAAUGGAUUUAUUAAUUAUUCAGUUAAUGUUAGGGGUGCAAUCUAACUCCACCAAAAAGUACAGAUGGUUCCGAUUUUAAUGCCAUUUUUGGAGUUUAUGUUGUGAUUUGUGCACACAACCCACCUUUGUGAGGUUUAAAUACAUGCAACUUUAUGUGAGUGUCUGUUUGUGGAAAAGGGUGUUUGUCUUACCAGUGGGUCCAACAUUACACACACCAAAUCCAUCUGUGCUCAUCUGAAAUAGUGUGGAGGACGCCCAAUGCAGCGCUUAAGGUCCUUACACACCAGGCGAGAAUUCGCCAAGCGAAUUAUUCGCCUUUUUUAAAAACAGCAUAAAGUCAAUGCAAGCUUCCACAUCGGCUGCGAUUUUUCCGCGGGGCGAAAAGCUGCUUUUAUUUUUUCGCUCUUGUGUCGAAUUUUUCGGAUAUUCACAGGCGAAUAUGUAGACCUGCUAGACCUCUGGCCAAUCAAAAGUCAUGUUGUUGAUGACAUCACAGACCCAUACGGCUGGAGAAGAGGGAGAAGUUUGAGAUUAUGAAAACGCAGAGAAAGACAGCUGAGGUGCAUCCAAAACUCUUUCGAAUUACUAAUGAAGUAGUUUUCUCACAAGAUGACACUCUCUUGUCUUCCUUAGGAGACAGAUGUCAUGUGUCAUGUCCGUGCCGCAAAGCGACUUUAUUAAUUCGCUUUGCAAAAAAUAUACGCAUAUUCGCUUCACGGCCGGUGUGUAUAGGCGAAAGCGAUUUUUCGGACCGGCGAAUAUUCACAAUUUUCGUCUCGCUUUUUCGCUUCGCUCCGCAAAUUCGCCGGUGUGUAAGGACCUUUACAGUGACACUUGUUGAGGAGCUGCCUUCUGUCGCCAUUGUGUGGCAUUGCUGUAUUCAGACAUCUCUUGAUCUCUUUGACUACUGCACGGAAAUAGUAAUACGCCUCGCCAGUGGCAGAUUUAAAGGCGAGGAGAGGAGCUUAUGUGAUUGGUGAAAACAAGUCUCGGCUAGGUUAAAUCCACUCCACGCCCUCUCUCCUCCCUCGCUACGACUAACGCCGCUGGGAGGAGCUGAGUUAAGGAGGGGGGAUACUUACGCCGGGCUAUGCCGCUCACCAAAAUACCAAAUUGUACUUGGGAACGCCUUGUCGGCGCGGUGGAUCUGACUUAAGCUGCGCCUGCGGCACGUCUCCGGCGAGGCACUAAAAUUGAGCCCCUUGUGUACUGAGGCAGCCUGUGACCAAAGUCAAAAUCAGAGGAUGAACACCUCAAGCCAGUGAAGCUCUAAGUGACUGUUUUAAAUCAAAAGACUAGAAUGUGCUGCUGGAAACAGAUGUGGAUAGUAUGAGCAUUGACAGACAGGUUGACUGCUUUACUGAGUAUAUACACUCACCGGCCACUUUAUUAGGUACACCUGUCCAACUGCUUGUUAACACUUAAUUUCUAAUCAGCCAACCACAUGGCGGCAACUUAGUGCAUUUAGGCAUGUAGACAUGGUCAAGACAAUCUCCUGCAGUUCAAACCGAGCAUCAGUAUGGGGAAGAAAGGUGAUUUGAGUGACUUUGAACGUGGCAUGGUUGUUGGUGCCAGGAGGGCUGGUCUGAGUAUUUCAGAAACUGCUGAUCUACUGGGAUUUUCACGCACAACCAUCUCUAGGGUUUACAGAGAAUGGUCCGAAAAAGAAAAAAUAUCCAGUGAGCGGCAGUUCUGUGGGCGGAAAUGCCUUGUUGAUGCCAGAGGUCAGAGGAGAAUAGCCAGACUGGUUCGAGCUAAUAGAAAGGCAACAGUGACUCAAAUAACCACCCGUUACAACCAAGGUAGGCAGAAGAGCAUCUCUGAAGGCACAGUACGUUGAACUUUGAGGCAGAUGGGCUACAGCAGCAGAAGACCACACCGGGUGCCACUCCUUUCAGCUAAGAACAGGAAACUGAGGCUACAAUUUGCACAAGCUCAUCGAAAUUGGACAAUAGAAGAUUGGAAAAACGUUGCCUGGUCUGAUGAGUCUCGAUUUCUGCUGCGACAUUCGGAUGGUAGGGUCAGAAUUUGGCGUCAACAACAUGAAAGCAUGGAUCCAUCCUGCCUUGUAUCAACGGUUCAGGCUGGUGGUGGUGGUGUCAUGGUGUGGGGAAUAUUUUCUUGGCACUCUUUGGGCCCCUUGGUACCAAUUGAGCAUCGUUGCAACGCCACAGCCUACCUGAGUAUUGUUGCUGACCACGUCCAUCCCUUUAUGACCACAAUGUACCCAACUUCUGAUGGCUACUUUCAGCAGGAUAAUGCGCCAUGUCAUAAAGCUGGAAUCAUCUCAGACUGGUUUCUUGAACAUGACAAUGAGUUCACUGUACUCAAAUGGCCUCCACAGUCACCAGAUCUCAAUCCAAUAGAGCAUCUUUGGGAUGUGGUGGAACGGGAGAUUCGCAUCAUGGAUCUGCAGCCGACAAAUCUGCGGCAACUGUGUGAUGCCAUCAUGUCAAUAUGGACCAAGCUCUCUGAGGAAUGCUUCCAGCACCUUGUUGAAUCUAUGCCACGAAGAAUUGAGGCAGUUCUGAAGGCAAAAGGGGGUCCAACCCGUUACUAGCAUGGUGUACCUAAUAAAGUGGCCGGUGAGUGUACAGUGCAUCAGGAAAGUAUUCAUACCACUUCACUUUUUCCACAUUUUGUUAUGUUACAGCCUUAUUACAAAAUUGAUUAAAUUCCCCUUUUCCCUCAAAAAUUCUACACAAAAUACCCCAUAAUGACAAAGCAAAAAACUUUUUUUAGAACAUUUUGCAAAUUUAUUAAAAAUAAGAACACUCAAAUGUUGCAUAAACAUAAGUAUUCACACCCUUUACUCAAUACUUGGUCGAAGCAGCGAUUACAUCCUCCAGUCUUCUUGUGUAUGAUGCAACAAGCUUGGCACACCUGGAUUUGGGGAGUUUUCCCAUUCUUCCUUGCACAUCCUCUCAAGCUCAGUGAGGUUGGAGGGGCAGCGUCGGUGCACAGCUACUUUCAGGUCUUCAAUCAGGUUCAAGUCUGGGCUCUGGCUGGGCCACUCAAGGACAUUCAGAGACUUGUCCUGAAGCCACUCCUUUGUCUUCUUGGCCAUGUGGAUUCAGUUGUUUUAUUUAUUUAGUUUUUACUCUAUCUUUUAACCGGCCAAGAAUUUUAAAUCGGAUUUUGAGCUGCUUUUAAAUGAACUGAUUCGCCGGUUUUUAUGUAGCCGGCGGUUAAAGCUGCUAACCUCUGCUCACUGAACCUUAAACCAUGGAAACACUCACCUCCUCACACGAGUGCAACAGCUGCCUCAAAAAAUCCAAAACUAUCGCUGAGCUGGAACGACGUAUUUCCAGCCUCCACUGGAUCCGCAACGAGGAGUCACUCCUGGACUCGAUGUUGACGCUGGGUGCGGGCCUCCCUGUGAACCCAGCCGAACUGGACUCCACCAUCCCGGCAGCCGCUGCUCCGCAGGCUCCACCGGCCCCAGCGAGCGCUGCUGCUGCCUCUGGCUCCCCACCUUCCACCGCGGAGGCUCCUGCUGAGCCGGCUCAUCCUCAACCCGGGGAACCUUGGCUGACUCAGGGGGCAAGGCCAAAGCGAGUGCCGGCUCCCGCACUGGACUUCACUCCUCACCCGAGGUUCAACAUUCGGAGUUCCACCCCACGGUCAACAGCGGCUGCAAAGAGGAGGACCAGCCUGAAACCACUGAAAUCCCACUUCGAUCUCCAGCUGUCCUCGAGGUACGAUGUACUCAGUGUUGCGGAUUUUCCUCCGCUGCCAGGAAGGCCAGAUCCGGGCCCAGCUGAUGUCGGACGAAGCGCAGCCUCACCUCCAUCUUCUGCUAGGGAACGAGGAGGUGAACGGAGGUAUGCACACGGGGCCUCGGCGCCCCCCUCCUCCCCCCCGUCAUGCAUACUCCCCGACCCGGUGCAAACCGUUCAGGGAACCUCUGCGAAGGCACUCCGCUGGGAACAGAGGUUCUCCGGCCCCCACUUGCGCACCACCGCCACCGCCGCGUCCUCGCCCACUGUUCCCGCCGACCACGGCAAUCAUCGGAGACUCCAUCGUGAGGCACGUCCGUUUUUUUAACGCAGUAACCCACUGCUUCCCAGGCGCCACUGUCCCAACUCUCCUCCAUAAACUCCCGGAGCUGCUGGGCUCACUCCCAUCCUCCAUCACGAGGCUGGUUUUACACCUGGGUUUUAACGACACUUCCUCCCGUCAGUCUGAAGUGACCAAGGACUAUUUUAAGAAACUUUUUAAGGUUCUCACCGACUACGGUAAGUCUGUUUUUAUCUCGGGGCCCCUCCCCUCCUUCGACCGUGGCAUGGGGCGCUUCAGCAGACUCCUCAGCCUGAACACCUGGCUCCAUUCCGCCUGCCCUUGCGGGUUCCGUUUUAUCGACAAUUUUAACUUGUUUUGGAACCGAUCCCCGUUCUAUAGGGCUGACGGGGUCCACCCCUCUCGCCUGGGCAGCAGGGUGCUCGGCGACAACAUUCGACAUGCUGUCCAGUCCACAUACACACCUACACACACACCUGACACACACACGUGACUGAUUUCCCCCUCUUCCUCUGUGUCACUGUCCCAAGCCACUACCGCCGCCACCAGCCCCCCCUACCGCCCACCCCCAGUACUACACCAUACCACUGCCACUUCUCCUCCAAUCUCAUCCUCUGCCUGCAUACAGUCAGUUUCACCAACACCUCACUUACAGUUCACCCCCAUAUCCUGCAUCCCAGUCAGAAUCUCACACCGAGCCCACAGAACAUUCCCUUCACGGACCAUCAACUUAACUCCAGUCACAUUGGCUCCCAUUUCACCACUGCCUGAGGAUGAGCGCACGCUCGGCACAAACACUAAUAUGGCCGUGCUGAAUGUGCGCUCGCUUUUAAAUAAGUCGUUUAUCAUCCAUGAUCUGAUUUUAGACAAUAAUUUAGACAUUCUCCUUUUAACAGAGACAUGGCUUGGCACUGAUGCUUCAAUUGUUCUCACCGAGGCUUGCCCCCCUAAUUUUAAUUUUUUAUUUUCAACAAGGGGGGGUAGAAAAGGAAGGGGGCACUGCCUCAAUAUUUAAAAACAAAUUGUGCCCAAAUGAAGUUUCUUUUAACAGUUUUACAUCAUUCGAAUACCACGCAUUUGUUUUUAGCAGUCCUCCUACUCUCUGUAUUACAAUUUACAGACCACCCCACUACUCCAACUCUUUUAUCAGCGAAUUUUCUGAUCUAUUAUCCAUUUUACAUACUACCCAUAACAGGAUUUUAAUAACUGGUGAUUUUAACUUGCACAUUGAUACAGCGUCUGAUCCAAUGUCUAAGGAGUUUUUAAACCUUUUAAAUUGCAUGGGUUUUAAACAGCAUGUGGCACAGCCGACUCACAACAGAGGGCACACCCUGGAUUUGGUCAUAACUUCCGGCCUAUCCACUGGUGUGUCCUCUGUUGUCGACCUGGCUGUGUCGGAUCACUACUGUGUGUAUUUUAAUAUCACCAGUUUUAACCAUCAGGAGGCCCCGGUGAGAACGGUGAGGAAACGCUACCUAACCCCCGAAGUGGCUGCAAAUUUUAUUGGGAUUUUACAGAGCACUCCUGCCGCAAUUUUACCUGCACCAUGCGAUUUUAUUGUGGACCAUUUUAACAGAACAUUAAAAACCACAUUGGACACAGUGGCUCCACCCGUAAUUAAAACUAUUAAAACAAAACCCUUACCCCCAUGGAGAAAAAACAACGAAAUCAGAAACACAAAGAGAAAAUGCAGGAGUGCCGAACGCAAAUGGAGAAAAACCAAAUUAACAGUUCACCUCGAAAUACUACAGGACUCACUCAAAAAAUACAACAAUGCAGUAAAAAAGGCAAGAACAGCCCACUUCUCAAAACUCAUCACAGACCAUAAAAACAAUUCCAAAUUCCUCUUUUCCACCAUCGACCUCUUAACAAACUCCCAUUUUAAAAAAUCUUUUAAGACCCCCACAGACGCCCUCUGUGAGGACUUUGCAGACCACUUCGGGAGCAAAAUUGAUGAUAUUAGAUCCAGUCUUUUAACUCAUCAGAAUGUGAUUUCCAACACAUCUGAACAGCUGAUUUUACCUGAGGAAACACUGGAGAGUUUUGCCCUGGUUGACGCAAGGACACUUGGUCGAGUUUUCUCCCAAGCAAACCCAACUACCUGCCUUUUAGAUCCGAUUCCCACAUCAUUUUUAAAAACAUUUUACGAAUUUUUUGAGGAACAGAUUUUAACCAUAGUAAAUUGCUCUCUUCAGACAGGGGUCUUCCCCACUGCCUUUAAAACGGCGGUGGUGAGGCCCCUUCUGAAGAAGAGAAAUUUGGAUACUGAUGUUUUUAAUAAUUAUCGACCCAUAUCCAACUUACCGUUUUUAAGUAAAAUCUUAGAAAGACUGGUUUUUAACCAAGUAAAUUAUUUCUUAAAAAGUAAUAAUAUCUUAGAGAAGUAUCAAUCCGGUUUUAGGAUGAACCACAGUACCGAGACAGCCCUUUUAAAGAUUUUAAAUGAUAUCAGGUGUAAUGCCGAUAAACAGAAACUCACAGUUCUGGUACUACUGGAUCUAAGCGCUGCCUUUGACACAGUAGAUCACCAGAUUUUAUUAAGCAGACUCAGGCACCUGGUGGGCCUCUCUGGGACUGUUUUUAACUGGUUCAUUUCUUAUCUCUCGGAACGAUCCUUCUUUGUAAGUAUGGAUACCUGUUCCUCAAAAACUCAUGAAAUUAAGUGUGGGGUGCCCCAAGGGUCAAUUUUAGGUCCAAUACUUUUUAAUCUCUAUAUGCUUCCCCUUGGGGACGUCAUCAGGAGACACGGCAUCAGCUUCCAUAGUUACGCUGACGAUACACAGUUGUACAUUGCCGUGUCUCCUGAGGACACAGGGCCUAUUGAUGCCCUUUUUAACUGCAUUUUAGAUAUCAAGUCAUGGAUGGCAGAGAAUUUCCUACAGCUCAACCAGGACAAAACAGAAGUUUUAAUUAUUGGUCCUGAAGGCAAGAGAGAGAAACUUUUACCAAAACUACAAGAUUUUAAACCUGCUCAAUCUGUUAAGAAUCUGGGCGUAAUUUUUGACUCUGAGCUGAAUUUUAUUCCACAUAUCAAGAACAUAACAAAGAUAGGUUUUUACCAUUUUAAGAAUAUAGCCAGAGUCCGCCCGUUUCUCUCUCAGGCCAACACGGAGGUGCUGAUGCAUGCUUUUAUUUCUAGUCGUUUAGAUUACUGUAAUGCCCUGCUCUCUGGUCUUCCCAAAAAGACCACCCACAUGUUACAACUGCUACAAAAUUCUGCAGCACGUGUGCUGACGAGGACCAGAGGGCGGGAGCACAUUACACCGGUUUUAAAAUCCCUGCACUGGCUCCCCGUGUGUUUCAGGAUCGAUUUCAAGGUUCUUUUAGUAGUUUUUAAGUGUCUUAAUGGUCUUGGCCCAUCUUAUUUAUCUGAACUGCUUUUAUCUUAUCAACCCUCGCGUACCCUGAGGUCCUCUGGCGCCGGCCUUUUAGUUGUUCCUCAUACAAAAACCAAAACUCACGGAGAGGCUGCCUUCAGCCAUUAUGGCCCAAAGUUAUGGAACAGCCUGCCAGAGAACAUCAGGACCGCAGAGACUGUUGAUGUUUUUAAAAGGAGGCUCAAGACCCACCUUUUUAGUUUGGCUUUUAGCUGAUUUAACUGUUUUAGUUUAUUUUAUCCUUUACUUUUAUCACAUUUUUAUGUCACUUAGAUAUUCUAACAUUAUUCUAAUUUGGUUUUAGUUUAUUUUAUCCUUUACUUUUAUCACAUUUUUACGUCAUUUAGAUAUUUUAAUAUUAUUUUAAUUCCUUCUAUGCCCUAGUCUUUUUAGCUCCAGAGUUUCCUCGUGGGGGCCCUCAACACUGGGAGGUAUGUCUGGUCCGCCCCCGGGGGGCGCGGUCCUUGGGAUCGUCCAGGCCCAGACGGUUAGGGGGCUCUGCACUAUGUGCAGGGUGCACCCGGGCUGUCUGGGUCGGGGGGUCUCGGGGGCGGUGCUCCCUGUGGGGGUGGGCUGUGGCUCCUCUCGGUGUGGACGGCUCCCAUAGGUGGUCUUUCCUUACCAGAAUCAUCAGUGCCUUGCCAUGUUUUUACUGACAGUUACUGUGUGGGUGUGUGGAUACGUGUGUGCGUGUAUGUGUGUGUGGGGUGGGCUGCUGUGCAUGCCUGUAUAUGCUGCUGUGGGUGGGAAGGGAUGGGUUUUAUGCCUAUUUAAGUGCCCUAUAUUUACUGUUGUUUGUUUUGUUUUUUCUUUUUUUAACGUUGUUUGUUUUUACCUCUUUGUAAAGCACUUUGUGUUGCAGCUUAAAAGCAUGAAAGGUGCUAUAUAAAUAAAGUUUGAUUGAUUGAUUGAUUGAUGUGCUUAGGGUCAUUGUCAUGCUGGAAGAUGAAGCGUCACCCCAGUCGAAGGUCUCGAGUGCUCUGGAGCAGGUUUUCAUCAAGGAUUUCGAUGUACUUAGCUGCAUUCAUUUUUCCCUUGAUCCUGACAAGUCUCCCAGUUCCUGCCACUGAAAAACAUCCCCACAGCAUGAUGCUGCCACCACCAUGCUUCACUGUAGGGAUGGUAUUGGCGAGGUGGUGAGCGGUGCCUGGUUUCCUCCAGACAUGACGCUUGGCAGUGGCGGGCCGUGCAUUUCACAAGUAGGCCUUCAGUAGUGCUCCGUCUGAAGAGAUUUCCCUAUUUUUUAAGAUUUCCCUAUUUUUCUUCACCUUUUCGUUGUGGGGCUCUGUUUCCCUGUGCACUUGCUCGCUCAGCUGUAGAUCCACUCUGGUUUCCCCAAAGGUUUUGGAAAGCACCGUUGCUUGUAAGUGUCCAGUAGUGCUUUGAUGCCUCGUUGCUGCCUUGGUUAGGCAAGUCAAAUUUACAAAUCCAGUGUGGCUCCAAACACCAUGUCGAUCAGUGGCAAAUAACAAGCACUCCCAGCAAUACAAUUUGCAGCGUUCCUCGGAGCCUGUGAGCCAGGAGUACCGCUCGUAGUUAGUGGACUGAAAGUGACGGACAAAUCCUUUUCCCAGUUGUGACAGGCUUGCUAGCUUCGGAGUUGCCCGACCUUGCUUAACAAUGUCCAGCUUUUCUUGAAAAGUCCGUCUUGAAAAUGGCUUUGACAGUAAAUCUGCAACCAAAUCCAUUUCUUCUUCUCCUCCUUCAGCCAUUGUGGGUUGACAAAACAGCUAUUAAAUCAACACAAUAAUAUCUAUGCUUGUGCAGCUCGCUACAGAUGCAGUUUGCUAGCUCUGGCUAGUACACUCUCUGACUAUCCAAUCAAAGCGUGUGAUUAUGUGGUCUUGGCUUAUUUCUCCAUCUGAAAACAUACAAUUUGGAACUUUUUGUACAUCUAUGUUUUGAAUGUAUUAAGGUUGCAAAUUUGGAAUGAUCAGGCUAUGACUGGCUUGACUUACACUAGCUGGUAGUUAGGAGGCUAAAGGCCCACCUCAUCUAUACAUCUGUAGCAAUCAAGACAACCCUGGGUGUGAAACUCACACAUUCCUCACAGGAAAGUUUCCUUAUCUGGUCCCAGGAAACAGGAUAUAAAUCUUUCCAGACUCGUUUACACUUUCAGGUUACCUAGAUGACCCAACCGGAGGUUGACUAAACCUCUGACUCUUCACGAUUGGUCGAUUCGGAGAACAGAGACAGAGUUUUUAUUACCUUUCAAACUGACUCCAUUUGCUGACCAUCUAAAUAAACAUUAACCUCAACCCAUUAACAUUAACCUGUGUGAACAUACGGACCCCAGGAAAAGGGGGGACACUGACCUCCAGACCUCGGUCGUAAAACCCUGCUCGACCAUACACUGAUAAAGACUACAUUCCUUUGGUGAAAGAAUACAAAUGACUGAUCAUGACAUCUUAUGCAUUCAGCAAUGUACUAUUCUGUCUAAUCAUGAAAUUUGUGUUAAAAUGAGAUGUUUCCCGUUUUUCUAUGUGCUCCAGAAGCAGAGUUAUCACUCUGACAGAAUAAAUCCUUUAUUCUUUAGUUUCCUUAGACCAACAGCUUUUCAGACUGUUUCAUGAACUUUUAAGAGUUAAAUGUAUUGAUUGUGACUCAUAAUUUAACUCUAAUUAACAGAAAUAGUUUAGAAAUGUUUGGUUUAUAUUUUAGUUGUUUAUUUAGUAAUUUUAACCAUUACUGGGUUAUAAUGUCAUUGAAUAAUCUCAAUGUGAGUAUUUAGAAUCCAUUGUUAAUCAUGAUGAAGUUCAUUUACAUGUAUUUACUCUUUUGGUGUUCACAGUCUCCAUGUGUUACUAUCUGUUUCAUUUCAGAGUAAUUUAGCAUGUUCAAUGUGAUACUUAAAACAUAAUGAGAAUGUUUGAUAUGAUCCUACACUUCAUUCAUAUGUGUUUAGUAUGAAAUUAUUUAUCAUGAAACCAAGCAUUCAAUGAUAUUAAUCAUAGUGAGUGAGUAUCAGAUCUGACUCUUUUACCAGCCAAAAGUAUAAGUUAGAUCAUAUAAUCAGAGAUCCGAGGUCUCCGCUGCUUGGAGACCCCACGACCCCUCCUCUGUCUCCUCACACACACGCCGGAGACACUCCCAGUGUAAGAAGAUAAAACCAGUGAAGUGGGGUUGCUCAUUCUCUUAUUCCUCUUCUGCUCUUUCUCUUAUGCCCCGUACUUUUGUACCCUUCCUCUUCUCUCCUCUUCUUUGUUUUCUCUUAGAACUUUUCUUAGUUUUCUAAGUUUUACGCCACGUGUUGAUUCACGUUGAUUUUUCUUUAACAUCAUCUUAGUUCAAGUUUUGAAACUUCAACUUUUUGUGCGCAUAGCUAUUCAAGAUUAAGCCUUUGAUUGAUUUUUCUUUAAUUUCGCGAAGCCAUUUUUGAAAGUUUUCUCUGCUCGAGUCUCGUUUUUCUGAGUUAUCUGCGUGAUUUCAAGUCACCUCUGAACACAACCCAGCAGGCCCAGGUCAUCCUCUGUGCCAGAGUUUUUGAGUGAGACCAAAGAAGUACCCAAACGAGCAUCCACAGGAUCCACAGGCGCUGGUUUUGCUUCGGGCCCGAGUGCUGCAACUCCUGGCCCAUCCUUCGGCUGACUUCAGUCGUCUUCUGAGCUGAACCGCUCGAACCGCCAGUAGCCCCGGACCUUCGGAACCUGCUUCAUCUUCUCCAAGGACCAGUCUCACUUAAGUAUGCAAACCUCCAGAGCUCCAAAGAGGGCUGAUGCUGUCUCACGCGUUCAUAACUCAGAUAUCCUCUUAUUCUGGUAAUCUUAGAUUCCUCCAAAUCCACAUCCGAGUUUAUCUCGACACCAAAGUUAGUGUAGGUUAAUAUGUUAGCGCAUAUUCACUCACUAUCAUUAACUUUAGUGCUCCUAGCCUGACUCAGAACCUUUAUUUAUUCACCUAUUAUUAUUUAUCCUCAUUAUCUUAUCAUCAUUUAUUG